Non-coding RNA from Podarcis lilfordi (Lilford's wall lizard), 69 nucleotides. The record is from the annotation of a GenBank genome assembly. Lineage: Eukaryota; Metazoa; Chordata; Lepidosauria; Squamata; Lacertidae.
GCGGUUGUUUGGUGGUAGUGCAUUUGCUUUGUAUGCAGAAGGUCCCAGGUUCAAUCCCUGGCAUCUCCA